GCUUAGCCUUAAACUUUGGUAGCGUACUUAUACGCUAUCCGCCCGGUUACUACGAGCAUCAGCUUAAAACCCAAAGGACUUGGCGGUGCUUUAGAUCCAUCUAGAGGAGCCUGUUCUAGAACCGAUAAUCCCCGUUAAACCUCACCCUCUCUUGUUUCUCCCGCCUAUAUACCGCCGUCGUCAGUUUACCCUGAAAAGGAUUAGUAGUAAACAAAAUCAGCACCGCUCAAAACGUCAGGUCGAGGUGUAGCUUAUGAGAGGGGAAGAAAUGGGCUACAUUUUUUACCUCAAAAAACUACGGAUAAUGUAAUGAAAUAGACAUUUGAAGGAGGAUUUAGCAGUAAGCAACAAAUCAGAGUGUUUUGCUGAAGCUGGCCCUGAAGCGCGC
RNAcentral lists this ribosomal RNA (388 nucleotides) under Pseudomugil signifer (Pacific blue-eye). Its description in RNAcentral is "partial 12S ribosomal RNA". It matches the Rfam family "Bacterial small subunit ribosomal RNA", at positions 794 to 1384 of the family's 1533-position model. Lineage: Eukaryota; Metazoa; Chordata; Actinopteri; Atheriniformes; Pseudomugilidae. The record is from RNAcentral.